AGAGUUUGAUCAUGGCUCAGAUUGAACGCUGGCGGCAGGCCUAACACAUGCAAGUCGAGCGGUAGAGAGAAGCUUGCUUCUCUUGAGAGCGGCGGACGGGUGAGUAAUGCCUAGGAAUCUGCCUAGUGGUGGGGGAUAACGUUCGGAAACGGACGCUAAUACCGCAUACGUCCUACGGGAGAAAGCGGGGGAUCUUCGGACCUCGCGCCAUUAGAUGAGCCUAGGUCGGAUUAGCUAGUUGGUGAGGUAAUGGCUCACCAAGGCGACGAUCCGUAACUGGUCUGAGAGGAUGAUCGGUCACACUGGAACUGAGACACGGUCCAGACUCCUACGGGAGGCAGCAGUGGGGAAUAUUGGACAAUGGGCGAAAGCCUGAUCCAGCCAUGCCGCGUGUGUGAAGAAGGUCUUCGGAUUGUAAAGCACUUUAAGUUGGGAGGAAGGACAGUAACCUAAUACGUUAUUGUUUUGACGUUACCGACAGAAUAAGCACCGGCUAACUUCGUGCCAGCAGCCGCGGUAAUACGAAGGG
RNAcentral lists this ribosomal RNA (529 nucleotides) under uncultured bacterium. RNAcentral describes it as "bacterial SSU rRNA". It matches the Rfam family "Bacterial small subunit ribosomal RNA", at positions 8 to 532 of the family's 1533-position model. The record is from RNAcentral.